This 394-nucleotide unclassified non-coding RNA is filed under the name soil metagenome. RNAcentral describes it as "partial contains 5.8S ribosomal RNA, internal transcribed spacer 2, and large subunit ribosomal RNA". The stretch from base 2 to 120 matches the Rfam family "5.8S ribosomal RNA", at positions 37 to 154 of the family's 154-position model. The record is from RNAcentral.
GUGAAGAACGUAGCGAACGUGCGAAACGUAAUGUGAAUUGCAGAAUUCAGUGAAUCAUCGAAUCUUUGAACGCAUCUUGCGCUCCUUGGUAUUCCGAGGAGCAUGCCUGUUUGAGUGUCGUGAAUACUCUCAACUUCAACCCUUUUUUCGGAAAGGGAGGAAGGUUGGACUUGGGUGUUUGUUGAAGUGCGAGCUUCGACUCAUCCUAAAUGCAUUAGCGAUCUGCCUCGAUCACACACAAUGUGAUAAUUAAAACUAAAGCAUUGUUUAAUGAUCAAGUCGAGACUGCUUCUAACUGUCGCAAGACAAUAACGUGCAUACAUUUGUGCAUGUCAUUUGACCUCAAAUCAGGUAGGACUACCCGCUGAACUUAAGCAUAUCAAUAAGCGGAGGA